RNAcentral lists this ribosomal RNA (253 nucleotides) under uncultured bacterium. RNAcentral describes it as "partial 16S ribosomal RNA". It matches the Rfam family "Bacterial small subunit ribosomal RNA", at positions 524 to 776 of the family's 1533-position model. The record is from RNAcentral.
UACGUAGGGUGCAAGCGUUGUCCGGAAUUAUUGGGCGUAAAGAGCUCGUAGGCGGUCUGUCGCGUCCGUUGUGAAAACUCGAGGCUCGACCUCGGGCUUGCAGUGGAUACGGGCAGACUAGAGUGCGGUAGGGGAGACUGGAAUUCCUGGUGUAGCGGUGGAAUGCGUAGAGAUCGGGAAGAACAUCAGUGGCGAAGGCGGCCUGCUGGGCUGUUGCUGACGCUGAGGCGCGACAGCGUGGGGAGCGAACAGG